Molecule: ribosomal RNA, 467 nt
Filed under: uncultured bacterium
Lineage: Bacteria
Description: bacterial SSU rRNA
Rfam family: Bacterial small subunit ribosomal RNA
Source: RNAcentral
GAACCAGACUCCUACGGGAGGCAGCAGUGAGGAAUAUUGGUCAAUGGUCGGGAGACUGAACCAGCCAAGCCGCGUGAGGGAUGAAGGUACAGAGUAUCGUAAACCUCUUUUGUCAGGGAACAAAGGCGGGGACGCGUCCCCGGAUGAGUGUACCUGAAGAAAAAGCAUCGGCUAACUCCGUGCCAGCAGCCGCGGUAAUACGGAGGAUGCGAGCGUUAUCCGGAUUUAUUGGGUUUAAAGGGUGCGCAGGCGGUCUGUUAAGUCAGCGGUCAAAGCCCGGGGCUCAACCCCGACAAGCCGUUGAAACUGGCUUGCUAGAGUGGGCGAGAAGUAUGCGGAAUGCGUGGUGUAGCGGUGAAAUGCAUAGAUAUCACGCAGAACUCCGAUUGCGAAGGCAGCAUACCGGCGCCCAACUGACGCUGAGGCACGAAAGCGUGGGUAUCGAACAGGAUUAGAUACCCCUGUAA